This 253-nucleotide ribosomal RNA is filed under the name uncultured bacterium. RNAcentral describes it as "partial 16S ribosomal RNA". It matches the Rfam family "Bacterial small subunit ribosomal RNA", at positions 524 to 776 of the family's 1533-position model. The record is from RNAcentral.
UACGUAGGGUGCAGGCGUUAAUCGGAAUUACUGGGCGUAAAGCGUGCGCAGGCGGUUUGUUAAGACAGGCGUGAAAUCCCCGGGCUUAACCUGGGAACUGCGCUUGUAACUGGCAAGCUAGAGUGUGGCAGAGGGGGGUGGAAUUCCACGUGUAGCAGUGAAAUGCGUAGAGAUGUGGAGGAACACCGAUGGCGAAGGCAGCCCCCUGGGCUAACACUGACGCUCAUGCACGAAAGCGUGGGGAGCAAACAGG